AUAAUAUCAAGAAAUAUCUGUUCUCAUUUGAGUGCAUGUGUCUCUGCAAAAUUCAUAUGUUGGAACUUAAAGCCCAGGGUGAUGGUAUUAAGAGGUGGUAGAAAGGCAUUUGGGAAUGGAUUACAUCAUAAAGGCUCUACCCUGAUUAAUGGGAUUAUGGAACAGGCUUCAAAGAGCUACCUGGAACUUCCAUCACUUCUACCAUGUGAAGAUAAACAUGAAUCUCUUUUUUCCCUUAUAUUUCUUCUGCCAUGUGAGAACACAGUAUUUGUCUUUUCCACCUUUCCAUGAUGUGAGGACACCCCAAGAAUGUCCCCUAAAGACAGGAAACAAGACAUGGAAUCUUCUGGCACCAUGAUCUUGGACUUCAUAGCCUCCAAAAUGGAACCUAAGACCAGUUUGCUACAAGAAUACAAUUGGUAUUCCCCACAGUCACCCUCACAAGGGACACUUACAAAGCACACUCCAAUCUCAGCCAUUACUGACUGACAAGAGCCUGCCUGUCUGAAGCCUGCAGGCCCGAGAAGCUUCUUUCUCCCUUCUCUUGGCUAUUAGUCACAGCUGGUAAGGCUCACAGGAACCGAGACUGUUUGAAAACAGUUGGAUCACGAAAACGUUUGAGUCUUUCUGCUGCAAGCAACAAACUUGGCCCAGGCUGCCACAAGGAGAUGGAGUGGGAGUGGGGGUGGCGAUGGGAUGCACCAGGAACGAAGGAAGAAAGGGAAAUUGCUAACCACCUCACUUCAAAAUCUUCUCUGAGGGAGCCCGUGCGAUAUCUAAAAGAUGUAAUGUCUCUUCAACGGUGAAGCGCUGAUGGUUGAACACUAAAGAAU
This 833-nucleotide long non-coding RNA is filed under the name Homo sapiens (human). RNAcentral describes it as "HSALNT0383546". The record is from RNAcentral. Lineage: Eukaryota; Metazoa; Chordata; Mammalia; Primates; Hominidae.